This is a non-coding RNA of Acanthosepion pharaonis, 114 nucleotides long. The record is from the annotation of a GenBank genome assembly. Lineage: Eukaryota; Metazoa; Mollusca; Cephalopoda; Sepiida; Sepiidae.
UUACGGUCAUACCACAUUGAAACACCAGUUUCCGUACGAUCACCGAAGUUAAGCAACGUCGAGCCUGGUCAGUAUCUAAAUGGAUGAUCGCUUGGGAAUCCUACGUGCUGUAAG